CAGUCGCCGCGGGAAUACGUAGGGUGCGAGCGUUAAUCGGAAUUACUGGGCGUAAAGCGUGCGCAGGCGGUGCUGCAAGACCGAUGUGAAAGCCCCGGGCUUAACCUGGGAACUGCAUUGGUGACUGCAGCGCUGGAGUAUGGCAGAGGGGGGUGGAAUUCCACGUGUAGCAGUGAAAUGCGUAGAGAUGUGGAGGAACACCGAUGGCGAAGGCAGCCCCCUGGGCCAAUACUGACGCUCAUGCACGAAAGCGUGGGGAGCAAACAGGAUUAGAUACCCCCGUAGUCCCUGUCUCUUAUAC
This 301-nucleotide ribosomal RNA is filed under the name uncultured bacterium. RNAcentral's name for it is "partial 16S ribosomal RNA". It matches the Rfam family "Bacterial small subunit ribosomal RNA", at positions 509 to 807 of the family's 1533-position model. The record is from RNAcentral.